AGAUGAGCAUGCGUCCCAUUAGCUAGUUGGUAAGGUAACGGCUUACCAAGGCAACGAUGGGUAGGGGUCCUGAGAGGGAGAUCCCCCACACUGGUACUGAGACACGGACCAGACUCCUACGGGAGGCAGCAGUGAGGAAUAUUGGUCAAUGGGCGCAAGCCUGAACCAGCCAUGCCGCGUGCAGGAUGACGGUCCUAUGGAUUGUAAACUGCUUUUGCACAGGAAGAAACACUCGGUCGUGACCGAGCUUGACGGUACUGUGAGAAUAAGGAUCGGCUAACUCCGUGCCAGCAGCCGCGGUAAUACGGAGGAUCCAAGCGUUAUCUGGAAUCAUUGGGUUUAAAGGGUCCGUAGGCGGCCAGAUAAGUCAGUGGUGAAAGCCCAUCGCUCAACGAUGGAACGGCCAUUGAUACUGUUUGGCUUGAAUUAUUUGGAAGUAACUAGAAUAUGUAGUGUAGCGGUGAAAUGCUUAGAGAUUACAUGGAAUACCAAUUGCGAAGGCAGGUUACUACAAAUUGAUUGACGCUGAUGGACGAAAGCGUGGGUAGCGAACAGGAUUAGAUACCCUGGUAGUCCACGCCGUAAACGAUGGAUACUAGCUAUUGGGAGCAAUCUCAGUGGCUAAGCGAAAGUGAUAAGUAUCCCACCUGGGGAGUACGUUCGCAAGAAUGAAACUCAAAGGAAUUGACGGGGGCCCGCACAAGCGGUGGAGCAUGUGGUUUAAUUCGAUGAUACGCGAGGAACCUUACCAAGGCUUAAAUGUAGAUUGACCGGUUUGGAAACAGACUUUUCGCAAGACAAUUUACAAGGUGCUGCAUGGUUGUCGUCAGCUCGUGCCGUGAGGUGUCAGGUUAAGUCCUAUAACGAGCGCAACCCCUGUUGUUAGUUGCCAGCGAGUCAUGUCGGGAACUCUAGCAAGACUGCCAGUGUAAACUGUGAGGAAGGUGGGGAUGACGUCAAAUCAUCACGGCCCUUACGCCUUGGGCUACACACGUGCUACAAUGGCCGGUACAGAGAGCAGCCACU
RNAcentral lists this ribosomal RNA (1026 nucleotides) under uncultured Flavobacterium sp. RNAcentral describes it as "bacterial SSU rRNA". It matches the Rfam family "Bacterial small subunit ribosomal RNA", at positions 223 to 1254 of the family's 1533-position model. The record is from RNAcentral. Lineage: Bacteria; Pseudomonadati; Bacteroidota; Flavobacteriia; Flavobacteriales; Flavobacteriaceae.